This 583-nucleotide long non-coding RNA is filed under the name Olea europaea (common olive). Its description in RNAcentral is "long non-coding RNA (OEUR_LNC002167)". The record is from RNAcentral. Lineage: Eukaryota; Viridiplantae; Streptophyta; Magnoliopsida; Lamiales; Oleaceae.
AUAAGAUGAGCUAGAACAUAAAAAGUACUUUUGGUAUCAAGUUAAUCAGAAAAGAUGGAGGGACAAGACUGAAAAUAGGGUAAAAAACAGGGCGUCCACAUGGCGCCACUCUUGGAGGGGCUGCUGCCAAAAAGCAGGUUGUCAAGUUAAUAAGCUAUUCAUUUCCCUUUAUCAUAUUAUGUAGUACGGGCACUAACGCACUUAAUUCAUGUCUGUACAAGCAUAAAAAGAAGCAAACUUGCUUUUUCAAGAAGAAUGCAAAAAUAUUCUAUUGUAUUUGUAAAUGUUUCAAGGAGUCAGGCCUUGCUAAUAUAAACAAUAUUAUUGAAUAGUUCUUCCAUAUUUAAAAACAGGUUGCCAUUGGCAUACAAGCUUCCUCUUUCGCUAACAGAGUAAUAUCAUUUGUCAUCAAUAGUGUUCAUUACCUUUAAAUGUGAUAGUAUAAAUAAAAAUGCUUUUUAAUCAAGAACUUCAACUAAACUUCCUUUCUCUUCUAAUUUUGGGGUGGGUGGCGGGCGGUGGCUCAGUCAGGAGAGGAAAUGAGGAGAGAUCGUGGAAGAAGAAAUGGGCUCCAUGGAGGAAC